Non-coding RNA from Paramormyrops kingsleyae, 4983 nucleotides. NCBI's taxonomy places the organism in Eukaryota, Metazoa, Chordata, Actinopteri, Osteoglossiformes, Mormyridae. The record is from RefSeq and is a predicted model, not a curated record.
ACACCUGCCUGGCUGCUGCACAGAGACCUGCUAGGGAACAGAGGAGGCUGAAAAAGGUAAAAUGACAGCAGAGUUUUGCGCAGUUUUGGGCCUGAGUUUCAAAAAUAAUGGGAUGGGACCUUUGAAUCAGCAGAUGGAGAUGCGGCACGGUCCUUUCGCCAGCAUGGAUGACUUUGACUACAGUGUGCACAUUGCAGAGCGUGACUGGAGCACCUUCCUUCAGGAGUGUGAUGAAUGUGACGUCCUUCAGGGCACGCUGGCCAGUCUGGAUGAUUCAGGUAUGAGUGACAAUGACUCCGGCAUGGAGGUAGAGGAGCUGCAGCCCCAACCUUCCUCAAACGGCCAACUUAACCUACAGGGUUCCUCUCUGAACACCAGUGACUUUCAGGUUCCUGACAAUGGUGAGGAGGAGGACUUCAGUUCUCAGAAAGUUACUGCUCGUGAGGAAUCGUCGGCUAUCUUGGAUUGUUCUGAUGACGUUUCCGUGACGAUGCCAAUGAGCACAUGUCACCCAGAAUGUCAGAAUUGUAUCGAUCAUCAAGACAUUCUUGAAAUAGCCACAGAAUCAAAUGACACAUCUUCUUCAGCGGCCAAGGGGAACGUUUGCCAUGAGAGACAUGAGUGCUUGUCUGGACUGAUGGAUCCUAAGCAGGGAGAUGGACGGAGCUCGAACGAACAAAUGGGAAAUCAGCUCUUUCCACAAAGUGUGUUCCUGCCGUCGGAAGAUUCCCCGACUGAUUCACUUACCCGCAAAGAAAUGAUCUCUGAAAGUCCAGAAAACUUCACAAGCGGCACUGAAUUACCAAAGAAAGAGAAGGAGCGCUGGUUUGUGACAGUGGACGUCGGCGUGGCGCGCUCCAGGGCACGAGGGAGCGCACCUGUAAAAAAAAAAAAAAAAAAAAAAAUUUGUAGAGUCUCCUGUGAACUGGGCCUUAAAUGUGAAGAUACAGGCCCAGCAAUUCGGAGUAAACCUGAGCUGAAAGCACCUGCGACUCAAAGUACGGAUCAGACAAACGAGAGCAGUCUCUCAUCACACCAACUGCCCACCUGCACCCCUAAGAACUGUUCGUUCUUUAUUAAAUUACUUUCAGAGAAGCCAGCUACUCAUAAGUCACCAAAAUCCACUGGAAUAGUACCAUCGGAAACAUGCAAAAAUGGAAACACAUUACAAAAACUUGCUAAGAAUUGCAUAACUAAUAGAAAAUCAAAUGCCAUUCACCAUGAACUAUCCUGUACCCGAGAAUCAAUAGAUACUAGUCUGUCAGGCAUUACAAAAACUGAACUGAAGGAACCAAACAAUAGUCUAUAUUUAUCUAUGCCUGCACAUGGAAAAACUCUGGCAUAUGCAACAUGCAAACAGGAAGGUAUUCCAGUUCAAAAUAUCCAACAAGGAAUUAAGUUAUCGCAUUCAACAGGGAAAACAGAAUUAAAGUUACUUGCUCUUGACUCUAAUAAUGAAUAUGAAAAAUAUGAACAUAAAAAACUAAAUAGAGCUACGAGCUUUAAGGAGUGUGAAGGCAAUAAUUUAACCAAGAAAGAUGUUGAUGGUAUACUGAGUGCAAAAUGCAUACUUGUUUCUCCAAGGGAUGAAUCAAAUUCUGUUUUUCUCUCAGAGGACCUGAGAGCAGGUGGUACAACAGCCCAUUUUAACUCAGUUCUCAACCCUACUGGAAAUACUUUGUCCCCAACAACAGUCAACAAAAAUAUACAUGUAGAUGUUAGAGAGUCACAUGUGGAUAGUGCUUUACUACAAGUGACAGGUGUACAACACACCAUGCGGGAAUCUUACUCAGAUGAAGUGGUAGCAGGCAUAUAUAAUUCACAAAAUCACAAUGAAAUUUUAGAUGAAGUGGACUGUAGCGGUUCAUGUAUGACAAACAGAGUUUUUACUAUAGAUGAGCCAGAAAAAAAUGAAGAGAACCAUCCUAAACAAGACAGAAAUGUGCACAUUUUAAAUAUGAACAAAUUCACAGAUUCUACUGGGUUACCAUUGCUUGACCCAGUUGAGACUAAGGCGCAUAAGCCUCAGAGUGAUUUUAGGCCGACUCACAGGUACCAGACUAACUGCAGCACAAAAACUGAGUCUUCUCUAUCCCAAGAACCGAUGACUUUAGAUCCUGAACACCCAGUGUAUGCCAUUUCUUCCUUUUGGGAUGAAAUGGAAAAAUUAACUAUCAGUGAUAUUUUACAGUUGAAACUAGUUGGCCACACUUAUUCACCACAGACAUUUCCUCAUAUCCAAGACAAUGUCGUUGUCGACACCUCAGAUGCCGACGAUGCAGGCUACUUCACUAAUGUGGAUGAAUUUAAGCCUGAUUGCUCUAUGGCUGAAGUUCCCACAUUCUCAGAUUUUGGAGAAAAGGGCUCACACUCUCUAAACUCUCUAAGUUCCACUCCUGAGCCUCAAGAUACAAAGAACAGAAGGUCAUCUGAUACUUUGAUUUUAAGGGAUGAUGUGCGGAACAAGCAAUUAUACCUGAAUGCAGGAACCGAAAAAGAGUCAAAAAAGAGGACAAAAUCCUGUGCAGAGAACCCUUUUCCUCAUCUCCACUGUUCAAAUGUAUGUCAGCAUGGAUUUAAUCAAAAGAGACCUCAAAACUGUAAGACAGCUUAUCAAAUGAACAAUGUUGAUGAUGGAAAUUCAAACAGUCUUUCAGUACCUGAAAUGUAUGACUAUUUUCUCUUUGAGUCCAAACCUAGCAAUUUCUGUUCUUCUCUAAUUAAGAACAAUGAGACAGUGCCCAUAUUCUCCAGCUCACAAUCAAUAAGACAAAGUCUGCAGUUUCCAGAGGUAUAUGACUGCUUGCUCCCUGAUGACUCACUCAUUCAGCUGGAAGAUGAGGAAGAUCGCACACCAAUCCGAGUGGUAACACGCUUUGACAGCAGAAUCAGUGACCUGUUGAACACAGAGGUAGUGCCAGAUUCAUAUGAACACUUUUGUACGGAUAGCGACUGGAGAGGAAAUCUAUUCUGGAGGCACCCUCUGUCUUUCAGACGAACGUGUUUCACAUGGAGAAACUUUGGUCAACUCUGGUAUAAUCCAGUUUUUGGGAGAAUUGAAGCAAUACGUGGAAGGCAGUCACUUUGUACAACCAUAAGGUCAAACAUUUCACAAGAUGUUCAGCACUGUGGUGCAGACAUUUGCUACCUGGAAAAACAUAUCUUUAGUGGACUUGCAGAACGAGAACAAGCUAUUGGAAAACUGCAAACUGCUUUAUCAGUUCCAAGUAAGGAUCUUUGUGUCUUGGUAUUCUGUGCAGAUAAUUGUGUGUUUGCAUGGAUUUUUUAUGUUAGUUUGACUUUACUUGCAUGCGUUUUCAUAGACAAGUUUUUGAGGAGAGAAUUGCUGAUUACCAAAACGUCCAUUAAAAGUAUGUGAAUCCUGCAUAUCAUGUCUUACACAGACAAACAUUUUAUUAUUUAAUAGACAUAUGUUGUUAAUGUAUCAUAAACCUGCAAAUCUUUUUGUGCAGAAAUAAACAAACAUCCUUAAAUUCAGUAAACUGACCGCGUCCUUCAGCUUCCACCACAUACUCAGAGUGGAAGUUUUCACCAAAGCGUCUAUGUUGGUUUUUUAAUUCUGAAGAGCAGGAUUCAGGGAUUCCAAAACAGACUGAGAUUGUCUUACUUUUUCAUUCAUUCUUUAGUAGAUUUGCUGCAUUUUUUCUUUUUUUUUUGGAUAAUUGCCGUGUUGGAAUAUGGAGUUUGGUGCAACAUCAAUGCCAACCUUUGAUUUCAUGGUUAGAUACCCAGAUAAUCCAUUAUCAUGCUUGGCAGAUAAGUUUAUGGGGAUUGUAGGUAGUUUUAGGUUUGUGCCAAACAGUGUUUUUGGUUGCACAUAAAACUGCAAAUUAAUUUCAGACGUUUUUUUUUUUUUUUUAAACAAAAGUUUCUACUUGACUGUCCUCACUUGAAUAUUUUUACAUAGUUCAUGUUUAAUUGUUAUGUGAGAACAUUUUGAUAUAAGCUGAUGUAGCAAAAAAAAUGUAAAUGAAUUAAAAUGAAAUUAAAAGCACAUAUUCACUAUCACUUGUAGAAUUCUGUAACUUACAUACUGAAAUAUGCUGUAAAAUCCAUGAUAUUAAUGUUAUUAAAAACCAUAAUAAACACCUAAAUGCAACUGUAAUAUUUAGCUAACACAGCUAUUUGUGUGUCUUCACUUUAAAUACAACUCUGUUUUGUUUGACAACAGCUGCCACCAAUUAAUUUUUUUUGGUUCAGAAAGUACCAUACAAACAUAAACCUUAACAGUGGUCAUCAUGAAGCACUUCUUGCAGGUGGAAAGAUGGGUUGCCUUUUGUUGCGUAAACAGUCAGACGUGUGUUUGGUGUGUAUCGCCUUUGCCUCUUGGCUGCUAAGGUCAGCUGAACCACAGAAUGUAGACACAUGGAGAAAUGUUCUCCUGGCAAACGUAAGUGCUGCCUGUGCCAUUCGGUACCUGAGGACGUUCAUCCGCGACGACACAGCCAUCGACAAAUUGUAACUCCACAUCCCUGCUUCACAUCUUAAUCACCCUUUCCCCAAAGCGAGGAGGCCAGAGUCCUAUUUUAAACAAAUGUAUGCAAUGGAAAGCGUUUCAAACAUUUCAAAAACUGCUAAAUUUUGUGUGAAUAGCUACAUUUUAAAAAAAUAUAUGAGGAAAGAUAUCUCUUGAUUUAUUGAAGUUCUGUUAAUUUCUUGAUUUUAUAAUGUCAAAACCCUUAACUGCUUACAAUCUGUUUUAUAUUAUAUAAAGAAGUACAACAUUUUGUAUUUUUCUGUGAUGAUUGUAUGUGCUUGAAAAAUAUUAGGAUCUGAUUUUGACAUUUACCAUAAUAGCAGUAAUGCUGUAGCUAAGUUCGUUUUGCAUGUUGUUUGAUGUCUGAACGAAAAACACAGGCUUUGUAUAACUUUUAAGAAAUGCAAGAUUUUGUAUAGAUACAUGGUUUGUACAAUAUAAAUAUGUAUGAAACAAAAUAUAUCAUAAAUGCAACUUUCACACAA